GCGGCGAGUGGCGAACGGGUGAGUAAUGUAUCGGAACGUGCCUAGUAGCGGGGGAUAACUACUCGAAAGAGUGGCUAAUACCGCAUACGAUCUACGGAUGAAAGCGGGGGACCGCAAGGCCUCGCACUAUUGGAGUGGCCGAUGUCGGAUUAGCUAGUUGGUGGGGUAAAGGCUUACCAAGGCGACGAUCCGUAGCUGGUCUGAGAGGACGAUCAGCCACACUGGAACUGAGACACGGUCCAGACUCC
Molecule: ribosomal RNA, 248 nt
Filed under: uncultured bacterium
Lineage: Bacteria
Description: partial 16S ribosomal RNA
Rfam family: Bacterial small subunit ribosomal RNA
Source: RNAcentral